CUCACCUACCACCAAAACACUUUCACACCUCUUUCUCCACUUAAUCUCUUCUUAUUCUUCUAUCUACAAAUCUCUCUCCAUUCCUUAUCAUCUUCUCUUCUUUUAACUUCCAUUCCACCGUUCUAUAAAAAUAUUGUUCAUCUUCUCUUUGUAAAGCUACUAUUGGAAGUAUGUAAUCAUAUAUAAGCCUCUUUAUCUUUCAACGAUAAAUAUUUUCAUUUUA
Molecule: long non-coding RNA, 223 nt
Filed under: Elaeis guineensis (African oil palm)
Lineage: Eukaryota; Viridiplantae; Streptophyta; Magnoliopsida; Arecales; Arecaceae
Description: long non-coding RNA (EGUI_LNC034121)
Source: RNAcentral